This 563-nucleotide long non-coding RNA is filed under the name Ananas comosus (pineapple). RNAcentral's name for it is "long non-coding RNA (ACOM_LNC015543)". Lineage: Eukaryota; Viridiplantae; Streptophyta; Magnoliopsida; Poales; Bromeliaceae. The record is from RNAcentral.
GCAAUUGUUUAUAUACCCCUGAAAAGUUUCCGACUUUUCGAUUUACCCUUCUUAAAAGGCUAAUAUUGAAAAUGCGCUUUCUACGUUCCAACCUAUUUCUAAUAUAUCUCUCGAAUUAAAAUCUAUUAAUUAAUUCUGUUAUUUCUGUAAAAUUACUAUUUUGUCCUUUCAAAUAUACCCUUCCACCAUCAUUGACUUUCUUAUUUGCCCUCAAAGUCAGGGGCACAAAAAAUAAUUUGACUUUUGAUCUUUUCCAAUAUACCUCUCUAUCGUCAUCAACAUUUCUUAUUUGCCCUUAAGUUAAGGAUAAAAUUGAUAUUUUAAUUUUUUUUUAACUGUGGUAGAUAUUUAACUCACGUUUAAUCCAAGUUAACUUAACAGGAGAUAACUGCGGGAGUAUUUUGCAAUAACGGUGGAACAUAUGAGGGAUAUUUAAGAAAGAAAAAAAAGGGGAUAAAUCGGAUAUUUUCAAACGUACGAAGAGUAUAUAGACAAUUAUUUUUUUAUUUUUUUAUUUUUUUUUCCAAGACAGAGAAUGUGUGGAGGUGAUUAUUGAAAUGGAA